GAGGCACAAGGAGCGUUUUUAUUUGGUUUAAACAUGAUUACAAAGACAUCUCACCUACGGUGUAUCCUAACAAUAGUAACAUGUUUAACUGUGAAUUGGACAAAGAUAUAAUUUGGAUCAAAAAUAAGGUGGUUAGCUGUAUAGUAUAACUCGCUUUUAAUGCUACAAUAUUGUAUCUUGUUUGGUAACAAGUUAGCUAGAUUUGACACACAUUUAACACCACUGUCAGCACAAAGCUCGACAGCAGCGUACCCAAAAUAUACACAAAAACGGGCGAUAAAGGUUUCUUUAGCACUUACACUGGAGAGAGAAGACCCAAGGAAGAUCAUGUGUUUGAAGCAUUGGGAACAACAGAUGAGCUGUCGAUCAGCAAUGGGUGCUUACCUGCCGAACCCUACAGAUUCAGUGUGUCUUACAAGAUGUGGGAUCCAACAUUACCACACGUCUGUCAUCUGCAAGAGAAAGAUAAGUAAAUAUAUUUCUGCAAAUCCUUUUGUAGAAUCAUUACACACAGUUCACCCCAGCCAUUGUCCUUCUCAUUCUACUCAUACUCUUAUCUCACUCUAUCCAACAGAGAAAAGCAAGUUCAGUUCCCAGCCAUUGGCAGACCUGGAAAGCUGUCUCGACGCAUUCACAGAGGAGCUGCCACCACUGACAAACUUUAUAUUACCUGAAAGCACCCACUCUGGAUGAAACUUUUCAUUUCUUUAUUUCAAUUUUUUUAUUGAGAACAAGUUCUCAUUUACAACUGCGACCUGGCCAAGAUAAAGCAGUGCGACAAAAACAACAACACAGAGUUACACAUAAACAAACGUACAGUCAAUAACACAAAAGAAAAGAAAAAUAGAAAAAUCUAUGUACAGUGUGUGCAAAUGUAGACGAGUAGGGAGGUAGGCAAUAAAUAGGCCAUAGAGGUGAAAAUAAUUACAACUUAGCAUUAAUACUGGAGUGAUAGAUGUGCAGAUGAUGAUGUGCAAGUAGAGAUACUGGGGUGCAAGAGGGUAAGUAAUAAUAUGGGGAUGAGGUAGUUGGGUGUACUAUUUACAGAAUGUCUGUGUACAGAUACAGUGAUCGGUAAGCUGCUCUGACAGCUGAUGCUUAAAGUUAGAGAGGGAGAUAUAAGACUCCAGCUUCAGAGAUUUUUGCAAUUCGUUCCAGUUAUUGGCAGCAGAGAACUGGAAGGAAAGGCGGCCAAAGGAAGUGUUGGCUUUGGGGAUGACCAGUGCAAUAUACCUGCUGGAGCGCGUGCUACGGGUGGGUGUUGCAAUGGUGACCAGUGAGCUGAGAUAAGACGGGGAUUUACCUAGUGAAGACUUAUAGAUGACCUUGAACCAGUGGGUUUGGCGAUGGAUAUAUAGUGAGGGCCAGCCAACAAGAGCAUACAGGUCGCAGUGGUGGGUAAUAUAUGGGGCUUUGGUGAUAAAAUGGAUGGCACUGUGAUAGACUACAUCCAGUUUUCUGAGUAGUGUUGGCGAUAUUUAGUAAAUGACAUCGCCGAAGUCAAGGAUCGGUAGGAUAGUCAGUUUUACGAGGGUAUGUUUGGCAGCAUGAGUGAAGGAGGCUUUGUUGCAAAAUAGGAAGCAGAUUCUAGAUGUAGUUUUGGAUUGGAGAUGCUUAAUGUGAGUCUGGAAGGAGAGUUUACAGUCUAACCAGACACCUAGGUAUUUGUAGUUGUCCACAUAUUCUAGGUCAGAACCGUCCAGAGUAGUGAUGCUAGUCGGGCGGGAGGGUGCGGGCAGCAAUCGGUUGAAGAGCAUGCACUUAGUUUUACUAGCAUUUAAAAUCAGUUGGAGGCCACGAAGGAGUGUUGUAUGGCGUUGAAGCUCGUUUGAAGGUCUGUUAGCACAGUGUCCAAAGAUGGCCCAGAAGUAUACAGAAUGGUGUCGUCUGCGUAGAGGUGGAUCAGAGAAUUACCAGCAGCAAGAGCGACAUCAUUGAUAUAUACAGAGAAAAGAGUAGGCCCGAGAAUUGAACAUUUAUAAGGUGAUGUGGAAGUAUUGAUGAUCGGUUUAAAGGUUCAAAUUCCAAAUAGUCUUAGUGUACUUCCAGGUAACACAUCAGAUGAGGUUUUGCAUAUGUUAAUCCAUGUUUAAAGCACCUCAAUACAUGUAUAUUGACAUUUAAUAUCCAUUGAUGCAUUAGUUAUUAGAUCCCUUUGUGGGUGAAUACAUUUCUGCAUAUUGGUUUGAUGUGCUCUCUUUUUGUAACCUGUGUGUCCGGUUACAUAGUCUGUAGGAAAGAGCAGCGCAGCCCUCCACAUAGCACGGACAGUGUGUCGCCGAGCAGAAUGCAGGUCAAUUUGAGGUAAUCAUAUGGUUCAGACCAACCACUGUAAAACAGUCAUCCUGAACAUUGUCCCAGAAACAGCCAUAUUAACUAUAACUGUCUUUUUGUUCAGUGUUUCCCCUAUAGUGCCACAUAAUUAGUUAAAUAGUCCACCAGUGUGCAAUCUGUGUCAUAUGAUCUGUAUAUAUAUAUAUAUAUAUACACACACACACACACGUAUAGAGUUGAAGUCAGAAGUUUACAUACACCUUAGCCAAAUCAAUUUAAACUAAGUUUUUCACAAUUCCUGACAUUUAAUCCAAGUAAAUAUCCCCUGUUUUAGGUCAGUUAGGAUCACCACUUUAUUUUAAGAAUGUGAAAUGUCAGAAUAAUAGUAGAGAGAAUGAUUUAUUUAAGCUUUUUAUUUCUUUCAUCACAUUCCCAGUGGGUCAGAAGUUUACAUACACUCAAUUAGUAUUUGGUAGCAUUGCUUUUAAAUUGGUUAACUUGGGUCAAACGUUUCAGGCAUCCUUCCACAAGCUUCCCACAAUAAGUUGGGUGAAUUUUUGCCCAUUCCUCCUGACAGAGCUGGUGUAACUGAGUCAGGUUUGUAGGCCUCCUUUUUCGCACAUGCUUUUUCAGUUCUGCCCACACAUUUUCUGUAGGAUUGAGGUCAGGGCUUUGUGAUGGCCACUCUAAUACCUUGACUUUGUUGUCCUUAAGCCAUUUUGCCACAACUUUGGAAGUAUGCUUGGGGUCAUUGUCUGUUUGGAAGACCCAUUUGCGACCAAGCUUUAACUUCCUGACUGAUGUCAUGAGAUGUUGCUUCAAUAUAUUCAUAUAAUUUUCCUACCUCAUGAUGCCAUCCAUCUAUUUUGUGAAGUGCACCAGACCCUCCUGCAGCAAAGCACCCCCACGGGUACUGCCACCCUGUGCUUCACGGUUGGGAUGGUGUUCUUCAGCUUGCAAGCCUCCCCGCAUAUUCUUCAAACAUAAUGAUGGUCAUUAUGGCCAAACAAUUAUAUUUUUGUUUCAUCAGACCAGAGGACAUUUCUCCAAAAACUAUGAUCUUUGUCCCCAUGUGCAGUUGUAAACCAUAGUCUGGUUUUAUGGCGGUUUUGGAGCAGUGGCUUCUUCCUUGCUGAGCAGCCUUUCAGGUUCUCUCGAUAUAGGACUCGUUUUACUGUGGAUAUAGAAAUGUUUGUACCAGUUUCCUCCAGCAUCUUCACAUGGUCCUUUGCUGUCGUUCUGGGAUUGAUUUGCACUUUUUGCACCAAAGUACGUUCAAUUCUAGGAGACAGAACACCACUCCUUCCUGAGCGGUAUGACGGCUGCGUUGUCCCAUAGUGUUUAUACUUGCGUACUUUUGUUUGUACAGAUGAACGUGGUACCUUAAGGCAUUUGGAAAUUGCUCCCAAGGAUGAACCAGACUUGUGGACGUCUACCAUUGUUUUUCCUGAGGUCUUGGCUGAUUUCUUUUGAAUUUCCCAUGAUGUCAAGCAAAGAGGCACUGAGUUUGAAGGUAGGCCUUGAAAUACAUCCACAGGUACACCUCCAACUGACUCAAAUGAUGUCAAUUAACGUAUCAGAAGCUUCUAAAGCCAUGACAUUUUCUGGAAUUUUCCAAGCUAUUUAAAGCCACAGUCAACUUAGCGUAUGUAAACUUCUGACCCACUUGAAUUGGGAUACAGUGAAAUAAUCUGUCCGUAAACAAUUGUUGGAAAAAUUACUUGUGUCAUGCAAAGUAGAUGUCGUAACCGACUUGCCAAAACUAUAGUUUGUUAACAAGAUUUGUGGAGUGGUUGAAACACUUAGGUUGGAGUCAUUAAAACUAGUUUGUAGACUUCAACUUUACCUGUUCUGAAAGGCCCCAGAGUCUGCAACAACACUAAGCAAGGGGCACCAUGAAGACCAAGGAGCUCUCCAAACAGGUCAGGGACAAAGUUGUGGAGAUGUACAGAUCAAGAGGGCCACCCACCAAAACUCAUGGACCAGGCAAUAAGGACAUUAAUCAGAGGCAACAGAGAUCAAAGAUAACCCUGAAGAAGCUGCAAAUAUCUUGGAAUUUGAGUAUCUGUCCAUAGGGCCACUUUAAGCCAUACACUCCACAGAGCUGGGCUUCACGGAAGAGUGGCCAGAAAAAAAACCAUUGCUCAAUGAAAACAAAUAAGCAGACACGUUUGGUGUUUGCCAAAAGGCAUGUUGGAGACUCCCCAAACAUAUGGAAGAAGGCACUGGUCAGAUGAGACUAGAAUGUUGCUUUUUGGCCAUCAAGGAAAAUGCUAUGUGUGGCGCAAACCCAACACCUCUAGUCACCCCAAGAACACCAUCCCCGAAGCAUGGUGGUGGCAGUAUCAUGCUGUGGGGAUGUUUUUCCAUCAGCAGGGACUGGAAAACUGGUCAGAAUUGAAGGAAUGAUGGAUGGUGCUAAAUACAGGGAAAUUCUUGAGGGAAACCUGUUUGUCUUCUAGAGAUUUGAGACUGGGAUGGAGGUUCACCUUCCAGCAGGACAAUGACCCUAAGCAUACUGCUAAAGCAACACUCGAGUGGUUUAAGGGGAAACAUUUAAAUGUCUUGGAAUGGUGUAGUCAAAGCCAAGACCUCAAUCCCCAGUUGAGAAUCUGUGGUAUGACUUAAAGAUUGCUGUACACCAUCAGAACCCAUCCAACUUGAAGGAGCAGGAGCAGUUUUAACUUGAAUAGGCACAAAUCCAAGUGGUUAGAUGUGCCAAGCUUAUAGAGACCUACCAAGAGACUUGCAGCUGUAAUUGCUGCAAAAGGUGGCUCUACAAAGUAUUGACUUUGGGGGUGGUGAAUAGUUAUGCACGCUGAAGUAUUAUUUUGUAUAUUCAAAGUGGUAGGCAUGUUGUGUAAAUAAAAUGAUAUCCCCCCCCAAAAAAAGUCAUUUAAUUCCAGGUUGUAAGGCAACAAAAUAGAAAAAAUGCCAAGGGGGUGAAUACUUUCGCAAUCCACUAUGUUCCUGGUAUAAAUGUGCACAUUUUAGAUUGUGUUCUCUAGCUGAUGAACAGUCACCUCACGUCUUCCCACAGAUUGAGCAACUACCUGUUUCCAGUGGCCAGGUACACAGCCAUGAAAUAAGGGAAUGAGAAAAUCUACAAAAGACCUGAAUGACACAUCUACACAUGAAUGAACAGACUGGGGAACUUUGAAACAACAUUUAUUCUGUUUAAGGAUCAUCAUUGGCAUAUGUAAACGACAAAUUGAUGGUAUACGCUUCAAUAUCUCGUAAUGGAACUGCCCCUAAAUUUCAAAUAAAGACUUUAAUCAA
Oncorhynchus keta (chum salmon) is the source of this 5553-nucleotide long non-coding RNA. RefSeq lists it as uncharacterized. The record is from RefSeq and is a predicted model, not a curated record. NCBI's taxonomy places the organism in Eukaryota, Metazoa, Chordata, Actinopteri, Salmoniformes, Salmonidae. The transcript is spliced from 3 exons.